UAAGAUGGCGCCUGACAGAAAUCU
This 24-nucleotide non-coding RNA is filed under the name Mus musculus (house mouse). The record is from RNAcentral. Lineage: Eukaryota; Metazoa; Chordata; Mammalia; Rodentia; Muridae.